RNAcentral lists this small nuclear RNA (187 nucleotides) under Dasypus novemcinctus (nine-banded armadillo). RNAcentral's name for it is "U2 spliceosomal RNA (ENSDNOG00000026727.1)". It matches the Rfam family "U2 spliceosomal RNA". Rfam says of the family: U2 is a small nuclear RNA (snRNA) component of the spliceosome (involved in pre-mRNA splicing). The record is from RNAcentral. Lineage: Eukaryota; Metazoa; Chordata; Mammalia; Cingulata; Dasypodidae.
AUCACUUCUCAGCUGUUUGGUAAGAUAAUAUGUAGUAUCUCUUCUUAUCAAUAAAACACCUAUGUCCUCUAUCCAAGGGCAAUACAGUGAAUGUAUUUUUGGAGCAAAGACAUGGAAUAAGGGCUUGCUUGAUCUGCUCCAUGCAUCAACCUGGUAUUGCAGUACUUCUAGGAAUGGUGCAACCCAU